AGAACGAACGCUGGCGGCAGGCCUCAAACAUGCAAGUCUAGGGGGUGUAGCAAUACAUCACCGGCGGACGGGUGCGUAACGCGUGGGAAUGUACCUAUUGGUUCGGAACAACUGAGGGAAACUUCAGCUAAUACCGAAUGAGCCCGCAAGGGGAAAGAUUUCUCGCCAAUAGAUCAGCCCGCGUCCGAUUAGCUAGUUGGUGGGGUUAAAGCCUACCAAGGCGACGAUCGGUAGCUGUUCUGAGAGGAAGAUCAGCCACACUGGGACUGAGACACGGCCCAGACUCCUACGGGAGGCAGCAGUUGGGAAUCUUGGACAAUGGGGGAAACCCUGAUCCAGCCAUGCCGCGUGAGUGAUGAAGGCCUUCGGGUUGUAAAACUCUUUCGACGGGGACGAUAAUGACGGUACCCGUAGAAGAAGCUCCGGCUAACUUCGUGCCAGCAGCCGC
This 448-nucleotide ribosomal RNA is filed under the name uncultured bacterium. RNAcentral describes it as "SSU rRNA". It matches the Rfam family "Bacterial small subunit ribosomal RNA", at positions 26 to 518 of the family's 1533-position model. The record is from RNAcentral.